Molecule: long non-coding RNA, 907 nt
Organism: Oncorhynchus keta (chum salmon)
Lineage: Eukaryota; Metazoa; Chordata; Actinopteri; Salmoniformes; Salmonidae
Exons: 3
Source: RefSeq, a predicted model, not a curated record
GUUGUACUUUUGGAUAGCUCUGUUGACAUUCCUCUCAUAGUUGGCCAAUUCUGGGAGUGUAAGAAACAAAUAUAGAAUCAUACUCACUCAGACUUCGCAUAUGGAAGAAACUAACAGAGAGUAUUGGUUGGCUAUUAGCCAUGAUCACCACAGAGGCUGACGUUUUACCUCACGUUAACAGGCUGUGCAAAGGGGGUUUCAAUUACGUUUGGCACAGCACUUAAGAGCAAACAGGCUGCAGAGGCUGUUUUAGCUAGCUACAUUACUUGCAAGAAAGUAAAAUAAGAAUACAACAUACGUUUGAAAAAAGCUGGAAUACAGAGAUGAGUAAAAGGAAAGCGCCACAGGAAUCCCCAAACGAGGGAAUAACAGACUUUCUUCCAGGACCUGAGCCCUAGGACCAUGCCCCAGAACUACCUGACAUGAUGACUCCUUGCUGUCCCCAGUCCACCUGGCCAUGCUGCUGCUCCAGUUUCAACUGUUCUACCUUACUAUUAUUCGACCAUGCUGGACCUGAGCCCUAGGACCGUGCCCCAGGACUACCUGACAUGAUGACUCCUUGCUGUCCCCAGUCCACCUGACUGUGCUGCUGCUCCAGUUUCAACUGUUCUGCCUUAUUAUUAUUAUUCGACCAUGCUGGUCAUUUAUGAACAUUUGAACAUCUUGGCCAUGUUCUGUUAUAAUCUCCACCCGGCGCAGCCAGAAGAGGACUGGCCACCCCACAUAGCCUGGCUCCUCUCUAGGUUUCUUCCUAGGUUUUGGCCUUUCUAGGGAGUUUUUCCUAGCCACCGUGCUUCUACACCUGCAUUGCUUGCUGUUUGGGGUUUUAGGCUGGGUUUCUGUACAGCACUUUGAGAUAUCAGCUGAUGUACGAAGGGCUAUAUAAAUAAAUUUGAUUUGAUUUUGA